RNAcentral lists this ribosomal RNA (800 nucleotides) under uncultured Bacteroidota bacterium. RNAcentral describes it as "bacterial SSU rRNA". It matches the Rfam family "Bacterial small subunit ribosomal RNA", at positions 1 to 799 of the family's 1533-position model. The record is from RNAcentral. Lineage: Bacteria; Pseudomonadati; Bacteroidota.
AGGAGAGUUUGAUCCUGGCUCAGGAUGAACGCUAGCGGCAGGCUUAACACAUGCAAGUCGAGGGGCAGCGCGGGGUAGCAAUACUCUGGCGGCGACCGGCGGAAGGGUGCGUAACGCGUGAGCAACAUGCCCGUAUCAGGGGGAUAACCGAUGGAAACGUCGCCUAAUACCCCAUAACACUAUGGAGGACAUCCUCUGGAGUUGAAAGUUACGGCGGAUACGGAUUGGCUCGCGUGACAUUAGCUGGUUGGCGGGGUAACGGCCCACCAAGGCGACGAUGUCUAGGGGUUCUGAGAGGAAGGUCCCCCACACUGGAACUGAGACACGGUCCAGACUCCUACGGGAGGCAGCAGUGAGGAAUAUUGGUCAAUGGGCGGAAGCCUGAACCAGCCAUGCCGCGUGAUGGAAGGAGGCCCUAUGGGUCGUAAACAUCUUUUGUGCGGGAGCAAUAAGGUCUACGUGUAGACCGAUGAGAGUACCGUACGAAUAAGCAUCGGCUAACUCCGUGCCAGCAGCCGCGGUAAUACGGAGGAUGCAAGCGUUAUCCGGAUUUAUUGGGUUUAAAGGGUGCGUAGGCUGUUUUCCAAGUCAGCGGUGAAAUGCCGGGGCUUAACCCCGGAACUGCCAUUGAUACUGGGAGGCUUGAAUGCGGAUGCCGUGGGAGGAAUGAGUAGUGUAGCGGUGAAAUGCAUAGAUAUUACUCAGAACACCGAUUGCGAAGGCAUCUCACGAAUCCGCUAUUGACGCUGAGGCACGAAAGCGUGGGGAUCAAACAGGAUUAGAUACCCUGGUAGUCCCCU